Molecule: ribosomal RNA, 472 nt
Filed under: uncultured bacterium
Lineage: Bacteria
Description: bacterial SSU rRNA
Rfam family: Bacterial small subunit ribosomal RNA
Source: RNAcentral
AGAGUUUGAUCCUGGCUCAGGAUGAACGCUGGCGGCGUGCCUAACACAUGCAAGUCGAGCGAUCUUCUUCGGAAGAGAGCGGCGGACGGGUGAGUAACGCGUGGGUAACCUGCCCCAUACACAUGGAUAACAUACCGAAAGGUAUGCUAAUACAAGAUGAUAUAAGAGAUUCGCAUGGAUUCUUAUCAAAGCUCCGGCGGUAUGAGAUGGACCCGCGUCUGAUUAGCUAGUUGGUAAGGUAAUGGGCUUACCAAGGCGACGAUCAGUAGCCGACCUGAGAGGGUGAUCGGCCACAUUGGAACUGAGACACGGUCCAAACUCCUACGGGAGGCAGCAGUGGGGAAUAUUGCACAAUGGGCGAAAGCCUGAUGCAGCAACGCCGCGUGAGCGAUGAAGGCCUUCGGGUCGUAAAGCUCUGUCCUCAAGGAAGAUAAUGACGGUACUUGAGGAGGAAGCCCCGGCUAACUACGUG